This 472-nucleotide ribosomal RNA is filed under the name uncultured organism. RNAcentral's name for it is "partial 16S ribosomal RNA". It matches the Rfam family "Bacterial small subunit ribosomal RNA", at positions 333 to 797 of the family's 1533-position model. The record is from RNAcentral.
ACACUCCUGCGGGAGGCAGCAGUGGGGAAUUUUGGACAAUGGGCGAAAGCCUGAUCCAGCAAUGCCGCGUGUGUGAAGAAGGCCUUCGGGUUGUAAAGCACUUUUGUCCGGAAAGAAAUCCUUGGCUCUAAUACAGUCGGGGGAUGACGGUACCGGAAGAAUAAGCACCGGCUAACUACGUGCCAGCAGCCGCGGUAAUACGUAGGGUGCGAGCGUUAAUCGGAAUUACUGGGCGUAAAGCGUGCGCAGGCGGUUUGCUAAGACCGAUGUGAAAUCCCCGGGCUCAACCUGGGAACUGCAUUGGUGACUGGCAGGCUAGAGUAUGGCAGAGGGGGGUAGAAUUCCACGUGUAGCAGUGAAAUGCGUAGAGAUGUGGAGGAAUACCGAUGGCGAAGGCAGCCCCCUGGGCCAAUACUGACGCUCAUGCACGAAAGCGUGGGGAGCAAACAGGAUUAGAAACCCGAGUAGUCCC